Molecule: non-coding RNA, 58 nt
Organism: Schistosoma curassoni
Lineage: Eukaryota; Metazoa; Platyhelminthes; Trematoda; Strigeidida; Schistosomatidae
Source: Rfam
UAGCUCAAUCGGUAGAGUAUGAGACUCUUAAUCUCAGGGUUGUGGGUUCGAGCCCAAC